AACGCGAAGAACCUUACCCAGGCUUGACAUACACGAGACAGCAUCAGAAAUGGUGCCUCCCUUCGGGGCUCGUGAACAGGUGCUGCAUGGCUGUCGUCAGCUCGUGCCGUGAGGUGUUGGGUUAAGUCCCGCAACGAGCGCAACCCUUGUCUCAUGUUGCCAGCGCGUUAUGGCGGGGACUCGUGAGAGACUGCCGGGGUCAACUCGGAGGAAGGUGGGGAUGACGUCAAGUCAUCAUGCCCCUUAUGUCCAGGGCUUCACACAUGCUACAAUGGCCGGUACAAAGGGCUGCGAUGCCGUGAGGUUAAGCGAAUCCUUUAAAGCCGGUCUCAGUUCGGAUCGGGGUCUGCAACUCGACCCCGUGAAGUUGGAAUCGCUAGUAGUCGCAGAUCAGCACGCUGCGGUGAAUACGUUCCCGGGCCUUGUACACACCGACGCGUA
This 441-nucleotide ribosomal RNA is filed under the name uncultured bacterium. RNAcentral describes it as "bacterial SSU rRNA". It matches the Rfam family "Bacterial small subunit ribosomal RNA", at positions 958 to 1399 of the family's 1533-position model. The record is from RNAcentral.